GUAGAAAGUGAAGAGGAAUUAAGAGUUUUUUGAUGAGGGUGAAGGAGAGUAGAAAAGUUGGUUUAAAAUAUUAAAAAAUGUGAAGUGAUGUAAUGGUAUUUUUUUUUUAUGAGAAUGUGAUUUUGUAGAUAUUGAGUUUGAUUUAAGAAUUAAAAGAGUUCGUGUUUUUGAAUAGUUAGAUUGUUAUAUAUAAUUUUUAUAGAAUAGUGUAAAUUUG
Molecule: unclassified non-coding RNA, 217 nt
Filed under: Hevea brasiliensis (rubber tree)
Lineage: Eukaryota; Viridiplantae; Streptophyta; Magnoliopsida; Malpighiales; Euphorbiaceae
Source: RNAcentral